CCUACGGGGUGCAGCAGUGGGGAAUAUUGCGCAAUGGGCGCAAGCCUGACGCAGCGACGCCGCGUGAGGGAUGACGGUCUUCUGAUCGUAAACCUCUUUUAGCAGGGAAGAACGGUCACUUUCCUAAUCAGCACUGAAUUGACGGUACCUGCAAAGGAAGCACCGGCUAACUCCGUCCCAGCAGCCGCGGUAAUACGGAGGGUGCGAGCGUUAAUCGGAAUUACUGGGGGUAAAGGGCUCGUAGGCGGUAUGUCAAGUCAAGGGUGAAAUCCCGGGGCUCAACGUGGGAAUUUGCUUUGAAACUGGCAGACUAGAGAGUAUGAGAGGAAAGUGGAAUGUAAGGUGUAGGAGUGAAAUGCGUAGAGAUCAGGAAGAACACCAGUGGCGAAGGCAACUAUCUGGGACAUAACUGACGCUGAGGAGCGAAAGCGUGGGUAGCAAACAGGAUUAGAUACCCGGGUAGUC
This 465-nucleotide ribosomal RNA is filed under the name uncultured bacterium. RNAcentral describes it as "partial 16S ribosomal RNA". It matches the Rfam family "Bacterial small subunit ribosomal RNA", at positions 338 to 795 of the family's 1533-position model. The record is from RNAcentral.